UACGGAGGGGGUUAGCGUUGUUCGGAAUUACUGGGCGUAAAGCGCGCGUAGGCGGAUUAGAAAGUUGGGGGUGAAAUCCCGGGGCUCAACCCCGGAACUGCCUCCAAAACUACUAGUCUAGAGUUCGAGAGAGGUGAGUGGAAUUCCGAGUGUAGAGGUGAAAUUCGUAGAUAUUCGGAGGAACACCAGUGGCGAAGGCGGCUCACUGGCUCGAUACUGACGCUGAGGUGCGGAAGCGUGGGGAGCAAACAGC
RNAcentral lists this ribosomal RNA (253 nucleotides) under uncultured bacterium. RNAcentral describes it as "partial 16S ribosomal RNA". It matches the Rfam family "Bacterial small subunit ribosomal RNA", at positions 524 to 776 of the family's 1533-position model. The record is from RNAcentral.